CGCCUACGGGAGGCAGCAGUGGGGAAUAUUGGGCAAUGGGCGCAAGCCUGACCCAGCAACGCCGCGUGAAGGAAGAAGGCUUUCGGGUUGUAAACUUCUUUUCUCAGGGACGAAGCAAGUGGCGGUACCCGAGGAAUAAGCCCCGGCUAACUACGUGCCAGCAGCCGCGGUAAUACGUAGGGGGCAAGCGUUAUCCGGAUUUACUGGGUGUAAAGGGAGCGCAGACGGCAGUGCAAGUCUGGAGGGAAAGCCCGGGGCCCAACCCCGGAACUGCUCUGGAAACUGUGCGGCUAGUGGACUGGAGG
This 305-nucleotide ribosomal RNA is filed under the name uncultured bacterium. RNAcentral describes it as "bacterial SSU rRNA". It matches the Rfam family "Bacterial small subunit ribosomal RNA", at positions 336 to 655 of the family's 1533-position model. The record is from RNAcentral.